Molecule: ribosomal RNA, 611 nt
Filed under: uncultured bacterium
Lineage: Bacteria
Description: bacterial SSU rRNA
Rfam family: Bacterial small subunit ribosomal RNA
Source: RNAcentral
CCUACGGGAGGCAGCAGUAAGGAAUAUUGGUCAAUGGACGCAAGUCUGAACCAGCCAUGCCGCGUGAAGGAUUAAGGCCCUCUGGGUUGUAAACUUCUUUUAUAGGGGACGAAAAAAGGGCAUUCUUGCUCACUUGACGGUACCCUAGGAAUAAGCACCGGCUAACUCCGUGCCAGCAGCCGCGGUAAUACGGAGGGUGCAAGCGUUAUCCGGAUUUACUGGGUUUAAAGGGUGCGUAGGUGGGUUGGUAAGUCAGUGGUGAAAUCUUCGAGCUUAACUCGGAAACUGCCAUUGAUACUAUCAAUCUUGAAUCAUCUAGAGGUAAGCGGAAUAUGUCAUGUAGCGGUGAAAUGCUUAGAUAUGACAUAGAACACCAAUUGCGAAGGCAGCUUACUAUGGAUGUAUUGACACUGAGGCACGAAAGCGUGGGGAUCAAACAGGAUUAGAUACCCUGGUAGUCCACGCCCUAAACGAUGGAUACUCGACAUUUGUGAUAUACUAUAAGUGUCUGAGCGAAAGCAUUAAGUAUCCACCUGGAAGUACGACCGCAAGGUUGAAACUCAAAGGAAUUGACGGCNGAGACGNGACGACGACGACGACGAGGGAGGAGG